RNAcentral lists this ribosomal RNA (505 nucleotides) under uncultured bacterium. RNAcentral's name for it is "partial 16S ribosomal RNA". It matches the Rfam family "Bacterial small subunit ribosomal RNA", at positions 28 to 507 of the family's 1533-position model. The record is from RNAcentral.
GACGAACGCUGGCGGCGUGCCUAAUACAUGCAAGUAGAACGCACAGUUUAUACCGUAGCUUGCUACACCAUAGACUGUGAGUUGCGAACGGGUGAGUAACGCGUAGGUAACCUGCCUGGUAGCGGGGGAUAACUAUUGGAAACGAUAGCUAAUACAGCAUAAUAUUAAUUAUUGCAUGAUAAUUAAUUGAAAGGUGCAAUUGCACCACUACCAGAUGGACCUGCGUUGUAUUAGCUAGUAGGUGAGGUAACGGCUCACCUAGGCGACGAUACAUAGCCGACCUGAGAGGGUGGUCGGCCACACUGGGACUGAGACACGGCCCAGACUCCUACGGGAGGCAGCAGUAGGGAAUCCUCGGCAAUGGACGAAAGUCUGACCGAGCAACGCCGCGUGAGUGAAGAAGGUUUUCGGAUCGUAAAGCUCUGUUGUAAGGGAAGAACGGGAGUGAGAGUGGAAAGUUCACACUGUGACGGUAUCUUACCAGAAAGGGACGGCUAACUACGUG